AUUUAAGUAGCUUAAUAGGAGAGUAUGGCACUGAAGAUGCUAGGGUGAUAAUUUAUCCUUAAAUA
Molecule: transfer RNA, 65 nt
Filed under: Paranauphoeta circumdata
Lineage: Eukaryota; Metazoa; Arthropoda; Insecta; Blattodea; Blaberidae
Description: tRNA-Phe
Rfam family: tRNA
About the family: Transfer RNA (tRNA) molecules are approximately 80 nucleotides in length.
Source: RNAcentral